GCGAAACAGAGGGUGAGUAAUAUCGAGGAUGAACGGAGGUAGAAGAGGAACAAGAGAGGAGAGCACUGAUGAAUGAGACUUCGUAGGUGGUGAGGAGUGAUGUAAUCCAAAGAAGAAUGGAAAGACUCCUCUAGGUCAACCAAAGAAAGCAGAAUCUCAAGAUGUGGGGUAUCAUUAUCCUCUUUUAAUUCUGAAAAGGCUUCCUGUGUAUCAGCUUAGAAGGGUCAAGUGAGGAGGAACUCAUGAAAGGCUGCAGCUCCAGGAGUUCCCAACACGGCUCAGUGGUUAACAAAUCUGACUAGGAACCAUGAGGUUGCGGGCUUGAUCCCUGGCCUUGCUCAGGGGGUUAAGAAUCCGGCGUUUCUGUGAACUAUGGUGUAGGUCACAGACAUGGCUCGGAUCCCGAGUGGCUGUGGCUGUGG
Molecule: long non-coding RNA, 422 nt
Filed under: Sus scrofa (pig)
Lineage: Eukaryota; Metazoa; Chordata; Mammalia; Artiodactyla; Suidae
Description: lncRNA (ENSSSCG00025057880.1)
Source: RNAcentral